This 492-nucleotide ribosomal RNA is filed under the name uncultured bacterium. RNAcentral's name for it is "partial 16S ribosomal RNA". It matches the Rfam family "Bacterial small subunit ribosomal RNA", at positions 29 to 507 of the family's 1533-position model. The record is from RNAcentral.
AGUGAACGCUGGCGGUAGGCCUAACACAUGCAAGUCGAACGGCAGCACAGUAAGAGCUUGCUCUUACGGGUGGCGAGUGGCGGACGGGUGAGGAAUACAUCGGAAUCUACUUUUUCGUGGGGGAUAACGUAGGGAAACUUACGCUAAUACCGCAUCCGACCUACGGGUGAAAGCAGGGGAUCUUCGGACCUUGCGCGAUUGAAUGAGCCGAUGUCGGAUUAGCUAGUUGGCGGGGUAAGGGCCCACCAAGGCGACGAUCCGUAGCUGGUCUGAGAGGAUGAUCAGCCACACUGGAACUGAGACACGGUCCAGACUCCUACGGGAGGCAGCAGUGGGGAAUAUUGGACAAUGGGCGCAAGCCUGAUCCAGCCAUACCGCGUGGGUGAAGAAGGCCUUCGGGUUGUAAAGCCCUUUUGUUGGGAAAGAAAAGCAGCAGGUUAAUACCCCGCUGUUCUGACGGUACCCAAAGAAUAAGCACCGGCUAACUUCGUG